GCCUCUGUGGUGCAAUUGGCUAGCGCGUUCGGCUGUUAACCAGAAGACUGGUGGUUCGAUCCCACCCAGGGUG
This 73-nucleotide transfer RNA is filed under the name Daphnia pulex (common water flea). It matches the Rfam family "tRNA". From Rfam's summary of the family: Transfer RNA (tRNA) molecules are approximately 80 nucleotides in length. Their secondary structure includes four short double-helical elements and three loops (D, anti-codon, and T loops). Lineage: Eukaryota; Metazoa; Arthropoda; Branchiopoda; Diplostraca; Daphniidae. The record is from Rfam by way of RNAcentral.